GAUCAUGGGCUCAGGACGAACGCUGGCGGCGCGCCUAACACAUGCAAGUCGAACGGAGCUGAGAGAAGCUUGCUUUUCUUAGCUUAGUGGCGAACGGGUGAGUAACGCGUGAGUAACCUGCCCUGGAGUGGGGGACAACAGUUGGAAACGACUGCUAAUACCGCAUAAGCCCACGAUCCGGCAUCGGAUUGAGGGAAAAGGAUUUAUUCGCUUCAGGAUGGACUCGCGUCCAAUUAG
Molecule: ribosomal RNA, 237 nt
Filed under: uncultured bacterium
Lineage: Bacteria
Description: partial 16S ribosomal RNA
Rfam family: Bacterial small subunit ribosomal RNA
Source: RNAcentral